ACACUGCGUAAGGCACCACAGCCUGAGGCUUCUGCGUCCCAACGUGAUGACGUCGCAGCCUAUCGUGAAGGGCUGAGGAAACCCGCUUUGAAGAUGGGAAGGGACCAUGUGGCAAGGAAUGCACUGGCCUCUAUUUGCUGAGAGGACCCCCUACCUGAUGGCUAGCAAGGAAAUAAGGACCAUUAUCCUACAACAACUAAAAGGAGUUGACUUCUGCCACAACCAUGUGAGCCUGGAAGAGGACUGAGCCUGGAAGAGGACCCCAAGCUCCAGACGAGAACACAGUCUGGCAGACAUCCUUAUUUCAGCAUCAUGAGAAUCUUAACAGAGAACUCAGUCACACCGUGCUGGAUUUCUGAACUACAGGCCUGUGAAAUAAAUGAGUGUUGUUUUAAGCAA
This is a long non-coding RNA of Leptonychotes weddellii (Weddell seal), 399 nucleotides long. RefSeq lists it as uncharacterized. The record is from RefSeq and is a predicted model, not a curated record. Lineage: Eukaryota; Metazoa; Chordata; Mammalia; Carnivora; Phocidae.